GNGGGCUAUCAUGCAGUCGAACGCACUUUCGUUAAUUGAUUUUGAGAUGCUUGCAUCGAAGAUGAUUUUAACUAUAAAGUGAGUGGCGAACGGGUGAGUAACACGUGGGUAACCUGCCCAGAAGUGGGGGAUAACACCUGGAAACAGAUGCUAAUACCGCAUAACAAAAUUAACCGCAUGGUUGAUUUUUAAAAGAUGGCUUCGGCUAUCACUUCUGGAUGGACCCGCGGCGUAUUAGCUAGUUGGUGAGAUAAAGGCUCACCAAGGCAGUGAUACGUAGCCGACCUGAGAGGGUAAUCGGCCACAUUGGGACUGAGACACGGCCCAGACUCCUACGGGAGGGCAGCAGUAA
RNAcentral lists this ribosomal RNA (352 nucleotides) under Pediococcus ethanolidurans. RNAcentral's name for it is "bacterial SSU rRNA". It matches the Rfam family "Bacterial small subunit ribosomal RNA", at positions 54 to 354 of the family's 1533-position model. Lineage: Bacteria; Bacillati; Bacillota; Bacilli; Lactobacillales; Lactobacillaceae. The record is from RNAcentral.